CCUACGGGGGGCAGCAGUGGGGAAUAUUGGGCAAUGGGCGAAAGCCUGACGCAGCGACGCCGCGUGAGGGAUGAAGGUCUUCGGAUCGUAAACCUCUGUCAGCAGGGAAGAACGGUCACUGUGCUAAUCAGCAGUGAAUUGACGGUACCUGCAAAGGAAGCACCGGCUAACUCCGUGCCAGCAGCCGCGGUAAUACGGAGGGUGCGAGCGUUAAUCGGAAUUACUGGGCGUAAAGCGCUCGUAGGCGGUAUGUCAAGUCAAGGGUGAAAUCCCCGCGCUCAACGGGGGAACUGCCUUUGAAACUGGGAGACUGGAGUGUGUGAGAGGAGAGUGGAAUUCCAGGGGUAGGAGUGAAAUCCGUAGAUAUCUGGAGGAACAUCAGUGGCGAAGGCGACUAUCUGGCACGUAACUGACGCUGAGGAGCGAAAGCGUGGGUAGCAAACAGGAUUAGAUACCCUUGUAGUC
Molecule: ribosomal RNA, 465 nt
Filed under: uncultured bacterium
Lineage: Bacteria
Description: partial 16S ribosomal RNA
Rfam family: Bacterial small subunit ribosomal RNA
Source: RNAcentral